Molecule: small nucleolar RNA, 92 nt
Organism: Lotus japonicus
Lineage: Eukaryota; Viridiplantae; Streptophyta; Magnoliopsida; Fabales; Fabaceae
Source: RefSeq, a predicted model, not a curated record
AGUGGGCAUAUGAUGAAUCUUAUAGUGUAAAUUGGGUAAUUUGCAUCUGAAUUGCAUUGAUGCUAUAUCACCAUGGAGGUCUGAUACACAAC